UCUCAGAGCCAGGUGCAGGGACUGCUU
This 27-nucleotide non-coding RNA is filed under the name Mus musculus (house mouse). The record is from RNAcentral. Lineage: Eukaryota; Metazoa; Chordata; Mammalia; Rodentia; Muridae.